RNAcentral lists this ribosomal RNA (253 nucleotides) under uncultured bacterium. RNAcentral's name for it is "partial 16S ribosomal RNA". It matches the Rfam family "Bacterial small subunit ribosomal RNA", at positions 524 to 776 of the family's 1533-position model. The record is from RNAcentral.
UACGUACUGGGCGAACGUUAUUCGGAAUCACUGGGCUUAAAGCGUGUGUAGGCGGUUCGUUAAGUGUCUUGUGAAAUCCCACGGCUCACCCGUGGAACUGCUGGGCAUACUGGCGAUCUUGGGCCAACUAGGGGCAGCCGGAACAAGCGGUGGAGCGGUGAAAUGCGUAGAUAUCGCUUGGAACGCCGAAGGUGAAAACAGGCUGCUGGGGUUGUGCCGACGCUGAGACACGAAAGCCAGGGGAGCAAACGGG